This is an RNA transcript of Oncorhynchus kisutch (coho salmon), 8698 nucleotides long. It is a transcript of the gene named methyl-CpG-binding domain protein 5, with no coding region annotated. The record is from RefSeq and is a predicted model, not a curated record. The transcript is spliced from 9 exons. Lineage: Eukaryota; Metazoa; Chordata; Actinopteri; Salmoniformes; Salmonidae.
AGAAAUCUAGCAGUGGCACUUGUACGUGGGAGCGCUUUAAUGUAGAUUUUUCAAAGGAAAAGCCAACCUGAACCUCUUCUUCUUUUUUAUUUUUUAUUUUUACAUUUCUCUUACAUAUAAUCCUGAAAAGCCAAAUGUGAACUGUUGAAAUGGAGGGCAUGGUAUUUUGGAUAUGCUAAACCUUAUUUCUGACUCUCAAGCCUCUCAGCAACAGACCUCUGCCUGGUGUCUGUCUCAAUUUUGGCCCUGGCUCGACUGACAUUUCUGCAAAGAAGGGCUUCGGUUCAUGUUGUUAUUUAACUAAAUUCUCCGUGUCGUGUUUUUUGUCUUCUGAAAUGGGAAGCUAUAAAGGUUGGAAUGUAUGGGACAGUGGCUGCUUUAAUCCAUUAUCCUCUCUGGGAUGAUGUAACGCUGACAUAACCUGCAACAUGAGGAGUUUUAAGGUGCCAGCGGCAGUUGGUACCAGCCAGAGCUCACUUAAUCACCAUUGAUCACCAGAUCCAUCCAGAUUUGUCCGAUAUCAGCUUCUGUGAACUGAAAGUGAAACAUUGGUCUGUGAGAGAGGUCGCUUGGGAAGCUCUACUUCAAGUUCCCUAAAGGUCACCCAUGUCAAUGUCGGCAGGUUCUCCCACCGUUACAAUGGCCUCUUCACAAAAACAUGGAUGAAAAUGGUGAUUUUAAACAUGACGACAUUAAACAGGAUGGGGACAAAGGGCCUCAAAGGUCUGGUUCCACAGUGAACCUGUCCCAGAAGAGGCAGGCAACGGUGGGAUUGGCAGUUCCAACCAGCGAAGCUGUUGUAGCAUAUCCUGCUCGGUCAGUUCACUCCUGAGAGACCCCAGGAUGAUGCACACUAGUCUGAGCUCUCUGACAGACUUGUGAUAUCUCACAAUCGCAAGGGUGUAGUUGUGCGGACUUAAGGAGUGGACAAUGAACAGAACAAAGAAGUAUGAAGGUCUGUGUUCUGAGGGGAAGCCCCCGGCUGAAGUCCCUAUAGGUUGGCAGCGGAGGAUCACCCACAGCGGGGUUGUCUACAUAAGUCCCAGUGGCUCUGUGUUAGCCUGUCUGGAGCAGGUGAAGAGCUACCUGCUGACUGAUGGCACCUGCAAGUGUGGCCUGGAGUGUCCUCUCACCGUUCACGAGAUAUUCAGCUUUGACCCCGGGGCGGCGGUCAAGCAUAGGAUGGCUGAGGAUGCACGAGCCGAUGCCGAUUUCACCAAGCUGUGUAUCCACAAGAGGAAGAUCAUUGCCACGGCGACACUGCACAGGAACAUGGAGUCACUGCACCCCUCGCUGGCUCUGGCUAGUCACGGUAGUGGCACUGGUUCGGCGACGGUGGGUCCUAUGAGUCAUCCAGCAAUAAAGAACAAUAUGUACGAUGGUCCACCCAACAAGAUGACAAUACCUGGUCAACGGUACUAUAACCAUGAACUGGGUUCUCCUCAGAGAGAUCCGUACUCUGGUUACAGCAGGACAAGACUGGGGGGAAGUGAUCGCUGUAGCCAACAACGGUCUCCCUAUCGUAUCCGCCACCGUGUCCUGCUCAGCCCCUCCUCCUCCACCUCAUGUGGCUCGCAGCAUUAUGGUGAUGGGACUCCCUCCCCAAGGACUGAACUUCUGGGGAGUCCUGAGCCCAACAUGCUAGGUUUUCAUGGAGCUUGCAGCCCAGGCUCUGCCCUUAUGAACGGUGAUCGUUUUACACCUCUCUCACCACCUAGUGUUCUGCUCCACGGCUCGCCUUCGGCCACCCAGCCUUCGUGUGCCAUAGCAGGAAGGACUAAUGUACCUGUCAAUGCCAAAAGCCCCAAUAUGCAGAAGCCCUUCUAUAGCUUCCCCCACAACAACUUUCAACAUAAAGUCCAGCCUGCAUGCCAUCCACACCCACAGUCGCACUUGUCCCUGUCUCAGCUCCCUCCCUCUUCUGAGAUGGACCCUCUUGGUAUCCUGGACCCCAUUCCAAGCAAGGCUCCAAGUCAGGGUCCCUUAGUGUCAAAUGUAUCUGGCCUCCAACACAGUGCCCAUUCUCAGGUACCACCAAUGAAUGUAAACAUCCCCCCUACCAGUGUCCCUUUGCCCAGCAACCUGCCUUUACCAACUGGGAAGUCUGGACAUGUUGGGCAUGGCCAGAGGGUCCAGCACCACCCUACCCCUUCAUCGGUCUCGUCCUCGCCUAUUGUGUCCCCGGUACAUAUGGCUGGGCCUGUCCUUGCCAGGAUGGAGGAGUCACCCCACCGUUCACGUUGCUCCUCCGGAUCUUCUGAACAUGGGAGCUUUGCUCACCCCACGGGGAUCCAGGUUCCUUGUGGGGGUUCAAAGCCACUUCCUCGGGCCUCCUUGGGGUCCCCUCGACCUGCAAUGCCGCCAAGUUCAUAUAAGAUGGACAAACUCCAUCACUUGAACGAUAACCCCAAUUACCUGCCAGGGGGGAUGAAAAGUAGUCUAAGCAGGCAUUCCAACUCCAUGUGCCCUCCAGCUCCUGGUUCUGAUAGUGUCCUUCAAAGGAAUCACUCGGUAGGAAUGCCCCUUAACAAGAUGCUAGAUCAGCAGAAUCCUGCUUCCUUCCCAGCCAGCAGUCUUCUGUCAGCCGCAGCCAAAGCACAGCUAGUGAAUCAAAACAAACAUCCCGACAGCGCAGCGGCUGCAGGCACAGAGGCUCACAGUGGCAGCGGUUUGGGACACCCAGGACUGGUUGGUGGAGGCAGAGGUGGGAACCUAGAUGGACACAGCACUUUAAACCAGCGAUAUCUACCUAAUCCUGGGCCGUUGGCGAGCGAGGUUCAAACCGGAAGAGCAGCAUUAAGAGACAAACUCAUUGGUAUGGCUCAGCAGAGAGAAGCGAAUCGCAAGCGGAAACUGUCCAAUGAUGUCAGCGGUGGUGGCGUCAACAAUGACAGGGCUUUCGACGUGCUCAAACAUCCAAUGGGUGGCUCAGGAUCAAGUUCGGCUAGCUUUCCAGAGCCUUUGAGGAGAAUGUUUCAGCAGGGUAGCCUGCCCCCAAACACCUCCAUGGCCCAGCUACUCCAGUCCAUGAGCCACCAGAGUGCCCAUAAUGGGCCAAGCCACGUGGGCCACAGCCCAGCCCGAUCCAGCAAAUCUCCCUUCUUGGAGGAAGCUUUGCCUCAUAUGUCAGCUUUACAGCAGAGCUUGCGGGGGCCUCAGCUCCAGGGCAGAACGUUGGUCCCUUUCUUCCAGAACAUGAACAACGAAGGUCAGAUUUCAGGCCAAGAUCUAAACACGGAGCAGUUUAACGGGCCAAUGAACGUAAUGCAUGAUCCCGCCUUAGCUGGGAACGUUGGGGUGCUGGGUUACGGUGGUAGACAACAUGCAGCCAUGGGGUCAAUGCAGGACAACCCAAACUCUCACCAGCAGCAGCAGUUUGGACAUUAUCAGAAACCAUCCCAGGUGCAAGGCAACCCCCACUUCAGAGGCAGGGCAGGAUUGCCUCCCAUGAUGUCCAAUGGCAGUGUCCAAGCCCUCUCUAAGUCAGUUGAGGUCAGUAGUUCUCUGAGCUGUGAGCUGAGGCAGGCCCAAGAGGAGAGUCUCCAGUCUCUCAUCAGGAGCAGCCAAGCCAAUACACAGCAACAGCUUGUUCAGGGUCUGGGUCGUCACUCCAUACAGAGCCAGCAGCUCCACAGGUUCCAGAGCCAGGGCUCCCAUCCUGUUGCCCCUCUCCCUGGUGGUGCUGCCUCCAACCCCAUGAACAGCCUCCUUCAGAGAUUCCAGGGGGGUUUGCCUGAGAGGAUUCCACAGCCCAACAGAGCUAUGAUGAGUCGACCGGGGAUUAUGUCCAUGUCCCAACCCAGUGCCCCUUGCCUCCAGGAGAGUCAUCGAGAAUACCAGUCUCCCCAGGGCCUUCACAGUGGUGGGGGAGAAGUUAUUGAUCCUAUCCACAGGGAAGCGAUGGGCAUGGCCAGCAAGAGCACGUCUAAUGUCAUUACAUCAGCGGGUGGUAGCAGUUCCUUCGCUGCUACUGUUGUCUGCGAGCCUGUUGACCUCUCCCAUGCGGUCAACUCUGUCAUCCACACCGGCCCCCUCCGCUCAUAUCGGGAGCCAGUGCCGGAGCACCGACACCAUCCCAAGGUGGGCCGGCCCCGCAAGAAGACCCCUGAACGGAACAACAUCUUCUCCCCCGUUGCCAUGGAAUCUCCUACAAGAUUCCAUUCGCCUCGACGUGGAGCCCAGAGAAGACAAUGGGACGGAGAGGUGGCGGCCAAGGAGCAGGCUGGUCUGUGGCGUGAUGACGAGCCCCUCCAACAGCUUUCCUUAGCCCAGGGCAGAAACGGCACCUACCCAGAAAGGCCCAAAGGUCAGGCCCACUUAGGCCCCCAGGAUCAAACACCACUGCAAGUCCCCAGUGGUAUGUAUGCCCAUAUGAACGGCAACGGUAGGGAUCACACGUCGGGAAGACCCAGACACCCCAGCCUGUCCCCACCAGAGGGCUACUUCACCAAAGACUCCAGCCUCUUCAACGGACAUCUGAACGGCCAACUCAACGGGCAACUCAACGGGCACUGCUACAACAGGUAUUACAAUGGGCACCUGAACGGGAGCCUGAGCGGCGAGGAGGACCUGAGGCCUGGGGACUCGCCCUCCUCCAGUGAGGGGCUCCAGCUCCACCACAGGCCAAGAACUCAGACCCACUACCCGGGAGAGCUGCUCUGGGGCCAGGGCAAAGGCUUCCCUCCAUGGCCAGGCAAGAUGGGGAGCGAGGGGCACAUGUACUCCCUUGGGAUGGUGAACAGCAUACAGGGCAAAGUGAGAUUAUUGUAUUGUCAGUGUUGUGUGAUUAUGAUUGGUCACAUGACUACAGCACAUAAGGAAGUGGAGGUCUCCGCCAAAAUUCCACCCUUAAUUUCAACACAAUUUUACAUUACACUUUUGCUGCUACUACUGUUGUGCACCAUACCUUUUGAUAAUGCUUUGUAUAAGAGAGGAGUUUUAAAAUGUGCAGACAUUGGGCAUGGCAUGUCCCUGAAGGAUAUUAUAUUCUUCACAAGGAGCAUGGCAGGGAAAGAGAACAACUCAGGUGUUCUGCAUUCAAAAACUAUUUCUGCUCUGUGGCACUGCCAACGGCCUCAGAGAUGCCAAAGAAUUUGUCGUUUCACCCCCAUUUUCACUUCUGUCGACAUCCAUCGCUUGAAUUUAUUUACAGCCUAUUGUGCCUAUUAUUAUUAUUUUCAAAACUACUGUCCAGGCUCUUCAAUUUGGGAUUUGGGGAAUCUGCUUUUAUAUUUUUUAAUGUGACAUGUUAAUUUAGGCUAACAUUUGGACUAGGUGUUAUUUCAGUUUGGUUUCUUGCCUAGUUUGACCUUACAUAUAAUAUACAGUGGUGGAUGAAUUUGCCACACCCAUUCUUUUUAUAGGCCUGUGUGUAGACAGCUAUUUGAAUAAAUCUGACCCCCUUGUAUUGAGUAAAACAGAAAUUGAAAGCAGUUUGGAAGGGUAGGAGAAAAUGCUGCCUCCUUUUUAAUUAGAAAACUGUUGAAUUCUCUGUCGUGUGUUUAAUUAAGGAAGCUUGCCAGUUAGUCAUAAGACAAUGAGGCUUUAUUGAAGUUGAAUUGUUGUGAUUAUUGAGUGUUAAAUGAAGUCAUUGCUUAGACACAAGUCAUUCUGCAAACUCAUUUAGAACUCCUAUCCUGAGAACAGGGUUCUUUUGGUUUCACUUGGCUGCCUUAACACUCUCAUGCAGAUGAUCCUUUGGUAAAGUUUUUGGUUGAAUUCUUCCGGUCAGUGUUUUGGUAAUGUUUUUUUCUACUUGCCCUCAGGUAGAGUCAGACAAUUUCCAGAGGACACUAACAGAGGAUCUGGAGACCCUACACAAAGCAAACAAAAUAACUAGAAAUGGAGGAAAACGGAAUAACAACCUAGAAGCUGCUAUACAGGAGGCUAUGAGCGAGCUGGAUAAGAUGACAGGCAAUAUGUCACAGAGAGAACGACAAGUCAAGACCCCUAAACCCAAGAGGAGGAAGAUCUCCAGAUGACAGUGAAUGUGUGGAUCCGUUACUUCAGUGGCCUUCUAAGUAGCGGUCCAUCUAGCCAAUGGGUUUCAUUGUAGCCGAAGUGGAACCGCUAGCAAGUUAGCUGUGUGCGCGUUAGACGCGACCAUUGUCCACUCUGUUAAAUCAACUUGGUACUUAGUCCAGCUGGAUUGGUGCUACAAUUAGUCAACACCCCUUCCACCUUGACCACCACCAAGACACUGACAGUGAAAGAAGUACAAGAAAGGAUGGAGGAACCUAGCUGCAAAAUAAUCGCUAUGAUAUAUCCACUGCUAGCUUGUCCUUAUAUAGAAUCUCAUUCUUUUCCAUAUGAGGAAAUUGUUGGUACAAAUAUUUCUGAUGCAUUUUAGAUGUACAAUAGACAAAGGAAAACAGUACAUUAUAUUCAGUGAUUUAAUUGUGUAUAUUGUUCAGUAUUAUCAUAGAUGAGUCGAUCUAAUGCUCAUUUUCUAAUGUACAUGUCUAUCUUCUAUGUUUUUAUUUUGCACAAAACAGUGCGGCCAGAGAUUUCUUUUUUUCAAAAGAAAAGCAGCAUAAAGGCAUUUUUCUACAGAUCUAUUGAAACAUGCUGUUAAGCAUCAAACCCCGCAGAAGGGUUAGGAACAUUUGAACUUCAACAGACACUAUUUUCAGGAAGGUUGUUCUUCUCUUACUGGAAAGGCAUACAGAGUCCCAAGAAAAGUAUACUGGAAGAUUUGAAGAUAGACACUGGGUCUAUCUGAACAUAGAGAGACGUGCAAAUACUUUCUCUUAUGUUUUUAUCCAAGAAAAGAAAAAGCCAUCAAGGGAAGGAGUCUAAAAAAAAUGCCUCUUAAGUUAAAUUAUAUUUACUCCCAAAGUAAAAUGUAUUUUCUCUGAAUAUUUUUGAUACAGAUUUUCUGUGUUAUAUCUGCCAAAUGACUUUAAUUGUGAGUGUUUUGUGUUCAUAAAAAAAAAAGGGUAAGUUAUUGUAAAGUAUAAACAAAUUUGUUGUAUACAUGCAUUCUGAUACUUAAGUAUUCAAUAUUAACAGUUGUAAUAUAUGGUUCUGUCACUAGUGUUUAAUUUACAAUUAAGUUAAUAUUUAAAUGUAAUUUGAGCAUUGCUCUUUUGUGUUUUUGUUGUUUUUGUUUUUUUUUACCCUUGAAUGUGUCAUUUUCAAGUGUCAAAAUGCCUUAUUGGAUGAACUGCACAUUUACAGUUCAGAAGAGAUCAGUAUUAUACACGUUGGUUUCGCUUGCUCUGAAAAGCAAGUUUAAACGACCCACGACAGUAUGAGAGUGAACAUUGAUUUGAGCCUUAUAUCCAAUGCUAUAACCCCCAGCUGCCAAAGCUAUGCCCCAUCACAGGUUGGGACUUUUAGUUGAUAUUAUUUACCUUUUUAAUACUCUAUUGAAUAGGUGGCCUUAAUUUAGUUGAUUUACAUUUGUUUGUGUUGCUUUUGUACUUUCAUUAUUUAUUUAUGAAUCCCAUAUUUAUUUGUAGAUUUGUUACAUUGCAUUAAAAUGGUUACUUAGCAAUAAUACUAAGAGUUGUACACUCUGAAAAGCCUUUAUGGUGUUAUAUUUUUCUCUUAACAAAUGAACAGCCUAUAUAUGGAUAAAUAUUCAGUCAGUGGUUUUUAAAUAUGAAUUUAUAUAUUUGUGUUUAUUUAUGAAGUGUAAUUUCUUUGGAUGCGUGUAUGUGCAUAUAGUGUUGUUGUUUUUUUAUUACUCAUGUCAAAACUGAGUGUAUAUUCCCAUAGCCUGAAGACAUUUUUAAAUGUUUAUAUUAAAUGAGUGAACUUAAUUUUCUGUACUUUAUACCCUGACUCAGGAGGGGAACCUUCUGAUUUGAUCAGUCUUGGGUAAAUCUGAAAUUGUAAAACUGAAAAGUUCUUGAUAAGUUUGUCCAAAAAUGUUGUAUUUAAAAUACAAUAUCAAGUCAUAUGUAUUUCAUUCUAAAAGAACAACAGGGCAUCCUAAAAUGUAAUCGCUAGGUGACCAAGUGUUAAUACAAGUGUCAUCAACAUUAGAUUCAUCUUGUUUAGAAUUAUUUAAUUUAGCACUCUUACUCCUAAAAUAUGAAGAGCUCACCACUAGUUCAUGGACUAAGUAAUUCAUGUUAACUGUUUUCCAUUUCAAAAUACUAGGCUUAUUUAUCAUUAAAGUAUCAUGAGUUACAUUUCAUAACAAUUAUUUAGGUCUUCCAUUUUCAACUUUUUGUCUACUGCAAUGAUCUUGAGUGAUUGUGUUUAUAUGGAAUAAAUGUUUUGCCAUCUUGGGGGAAAAAAAACUAAAAAACAGUUUGAAUUAGCUUUUUAUUGACUUUUUCCAUGUCAUUUUUGUGAUUUUUAUUUCAGGACAUACGGUACAAGCUGAGUGGCCCACAUUGGUUUUAUGAUGUGAAAAUAUUUUUAUUUGUUGUUAAACAUUUUUAUUUUAAGUCAUUUGGCAUUUUAACAGUCACAUGAUGUGGCACCAACAUUUAAGUAUAUUUUGUACUUGGUGUUCUUAUAGUUUUUAAUAUCUUUCUGCAUACAUAACAGCUGUAGCAUCUCCCCUUUCUGCUUCUCCAGCAGAAAUGUUUCACAUUUAAAAAAAGUGUGCCUGAAAUUACAGGCAGUGGAAAGUGGCUAUUAUGCUUCGUUCAAAAUCUUUCCAUUGUGUUUGUUCCAUAGGGAUGUACAAAUUUGACAAAGUAUUGCAUUCAUUUUGCAAUAAAAGUAUGUAUUCUAUCAA